RNAcentral lists this ribosomal RNA (468 nucleotides) under uncultured bacterium. Its description in RNAcentral is "partial 16S ribosomal RNA". It matches the Rfam family "Bacterial small subunit ribosomal RNA", at positions 28 to 507 of the family's 1533-position model. The record is from RNAcentral.
GACGAACGCUGGCGACGUGCUUAACACAUGCAAGUCGAACGGAAAGGCCCUGCUUUUGUUGGUUUCUCGAGUGGCGAACGGGUGUGUAACACGUGAGUAACCUGCCCUUGACUUUGGGAUAACUUCAGGAAACUGGGGCUAAUACCGGAUAUGAGCUCCUGCUGCAUGUUGGUGGUUGGAAAGUUUCGGCUGUUGUGGAUGGACUCGCGGCUUAUGAGCUUGUUGGUGGGGUAGUGGCUUACCAAGGGUUUGACGGGUAGCCGGCCUGAGAGGGUGACCGGCCACAUUGGGACUGAGAGACGGCCCAGAAUGCUACGGGAAGCAGCAGGAGGGAGUAUUGCAGAAUAAGGGGAAGCCUGAGACAGCAACGCCGGGAGCGGGAUAACGGCCUAAGGGUUGUAAACCGCUGUCGCCUGUGACGAGGCGGGAGUGACGGUAAUGGGUAAAGAAGCACCGGCUAACUACGUG